GGUAAGCUUAUGUUACAUUUGGUGUAAGUAACAGAUGUGAUGUGACCAAUUGACUCAUGUAAGAGCAGCACGUGGCGGUAAGGCACAGUAGGGAAAAAAUAUUGAAACCAGUUUGCCAACCAGUUGCAAGAAGUGUCAACGGCAAAGUCAAUGGUAUGAAUUCCUUAUAAUAGCCGGUUGAUGAUUAGGCACGUAUCAAUGAAGAUUUUGAAAAGAAAAAGAAAAAUUGAAAUUGAAAAAUUUUUAUGUGGGUUUUAAAAGUUUAUAAGCCAAAAUCUCAUCAUCCGGUUUUUGAAGGAAGCAACAGCUCCCCUAUGAAAGUCAUGCGCCACUAUUCAUACAAUUUUAUUAUGGAAAUUAUUGAACCAAGGCUGAGAAAAAGGGCAAAAAAAAAAGAAACAAAUUCUUUCAGAGUUGUCUGUUACUACUACAUAGAGAAAUGGCAGGGAGCUGCAGUUUCAAAGGUGAGGGAGGGUUUCGUAAAUUUUAUAAUUUUUUUCGUUAUUCAAUUUAUAAUUUUGUUUUGGAGUAAUGAAAUGUUUGUAAUAUCAUUGAUUGGUUUAUCGAUUAGUAUCCUCGUAAUUUUAUCUUGUUUCAAAUUCUUAAAUAGGCCAUAUGCAUCAAGUGUUCGAUGAAAUGUCUGAAUGGCGUAAGCAAAUACUAGUUGGCUAAUUUUGAACAUGUUAAUCGGUUUACAAAUUGAUGUAUCAGAGUUCAACUAAUUUCAUGUAUUUUCAUUAUUAACAUAGUAUGAGUUGUUAUCGAUGAAGUGAGAAUAUUAUGUAGUGGAAUGAAUAAUUGAGUAGGUGCUUUAAUAUUCAAAGUCUCUAGAGAAUGACCUUAACAGAACGUUAUGUUUUUAUGGCUUUGAAAAGAAAUGUAAAUUUGUAGAGCGAAGUGUGAAGGUUAGAAAUUAUGAAGACGAUAAUAUAUUGUUAUUUUAUAUUCAUAAGUAAAUGAGAAUGUGUCUUCAAAGGAUAAAGAUCAGACAUUUUUAUAUGAAUUUGUGUAAAAUUGGAAGGGUUCGAAAGGUGUAGUUAAAAAAUAAAGCAAUAAACCUUGUUGUUAUUUCAUUUUCUCAUUUGCUUGAAAGGGUGGCCCUUUAACGUAGUGUGAUUCCUAUUGAUAAUUUUGAUAUUUAAAGGUAACCAUCUGUUGUUAUGUAUUUACUGGAUAAAUUUCGCUUGUGAGCCUUCCCUUUUGUUAUUGUAGUAAGGAAUUUAGUAUCAGUAAUUUAAGUUGACAACUAGUUAAGUUAGUAAAAAUGCAAAAAACUGUUAAAGUACACAAGUUUGAUACCAAUAACGGGGCAAAGACUAUGUAUCCAAACCAAUACUGAUAUUGUUCAGUGUGCUUAAAUUCAUGUUACUGCUCAACAAAAUAAUUGUAUUGAUUUGUUCUCGUGGGUUCUUUGUUUUUUAUUAUACUCAGAACAUAAUGCCACGAUUAUUUAUUAGUUUAAUAUUUUGGUAUGUAAUAUUAGCCUUUACUUGGCGGCAUUACUGUUGAUGAGUCAGUGGAAAGUAAAAAAUGCAAGAUUAAGAAGGAAGUGAUGCUUUUAUAAUUAUGGUUUCCAUAUUUAUGAAUUUCAGACAUUUGAGUCUUUAAUGGAAAGGAUUAUGUGGUGUUAAUAGCCUCGUAUUCAUUGCUUAUGAACUCGAUGUCUUCUCAGUUGUAGACUACGUUAAAGAUAACUGAUAUAAGGAAUUUGAGUUUACCCAAAUGAUAAGGAUAAAGCUUCAAUAUGAUUCCCUUUUCAACUUAUGUAUUUUAUGAGCAUUUCUUCCAUUCUUUAGAUUGCAUAGAGGGUUUUUUCGUCUCUACCCUGGUUGGCAUUCAUAUAUUUUGGGAAUUUAAUGUGGUAGUCAUUACUUAGCAUUCUUCAAUUCUAACUGACGUUAUUAACUUGAAGCACUUAGUUUAAAUUUUGAAUUAUGGUUUAUUUUGAUCAUUUUCUUGGCAUAAUAGGAAAAUAAAAUAAAAGGUAACAUUUUAGUCUUUGAAUGGUGAUGAAAGCAAAGGCUAUAACUCUUCUCUAUUUACAGGUGAUGGCCUUAAAACAUUUAAUAUUGUGAACAAUGACUUAUGCUACAAUGACAAUAUCAGUGUUGAGCUCCCUGUCAGGCUGGAAUUUGGGUUAUAGAAGGUGGACAAGGCUAGUAUUUUCUUGGGUUCUACCAAUACUCCUACAAAGUCUGCACAAGAUUAUAUAUUGCUCAUAGAGCGCCAAGAUCUGGUUAAACUUCAGGCAGUUUAUCUGCGAACUUACAUGAUCCAUCACCAUUUAUGUCACAUGUGAAUGAAAUAUGAAAAUCUUCUUCCAACAAAUGCAG
RNAcentral lists this long non-coding RNA (2333 nucleotides) under Citrus maxima (pomelo). RNAcentral's name for it is "long non-coding RNA (CMAX_LNC000324)". The record is from RNAcentral. Lineage: Eukaryota; Viridiplantae; Streptophyta; Magnoliopsida; Sapindales; Rutaceae.